RNAcentral lists this long non-coding RNA (302 nucleotides) under Gossypium raimondii (Peruvian cotton). RNAcentral describes it as "long non-coding RNA (GRAI_LNC006527)". Lineage: Eukaryota; Viridiplantae; Streptophyta; Magnoliopsida; Malvales; Malvaceae. The record is from RNAcentral.
UGGAUGUUUAUUGUAUGAUAAUUGAUGAAGUAUUGAUAUUCUUGAUGAAAAGAGAAAAUAAAUCCCGAUUGAAUGAAAGGAAAAAUUCGAUGGAUCUCUGAAAAGGAAUUGACGGUAAAAAGGAUCUAGCCCGGACGGGUGAUCCUAUCCUGAUAUAGCCCUCCCGAAGAAUAUGUGGAAAAUGGAUUUAGCCCGGACGGGUAAUCCGAAUUAGGGUCUGAAUUUAGCCUGGACUGGUAAUUCAGAUCCAAGCUCAUUAGAGUAAUUAUCGUUGCAGGGGAUUUAGCCUGGACUGCUAAUCC